GUGAGUGGGGUUUGGAGCGGCCUGGCGCGUGUGCUCUGCCCCCUCUCGGCUGCUCCCGAGCGCCGCUGUCUGCACCGCUCCUUACGCGUCCRGAGAGAGCGAGCUGCGGGCAGCGAGACUUCAGGCAAGGAAAAAGAAAAUAAUGGCUGGCAGAAAUACAGGGGGAGGGGGGCAGCCACCACAGCACACCAGAGAAGAGGCUUGAUUUUAUUUCCUCUUGCUGGUGUUACUCAUCUCGCUCUGGCUUGGACCACUAACUCUCCAACGUACUUCCCCUCUCCCUCCGAAGAGAGCUGUAUUCAGAGAAAGGCAAAAACUCAUAAACAUGAUUUAUGUUAAAAUUUUCUUCUGUCUAGAAUUAGGGCAAAUACUUCUGGAAGAGAAGACAACUGAUGGAGUUGCUGGGCGCUGCCUGGAGGGAGGCUGCAGGAGUGAGGGCCAGGGAGUGUAGCUGUGGAGGUUCAGCCGGGGAGGUUCCACGGCGCAUCAUUGAAACCUCCUCCCUCCCCAGGUGGUACAUGGAAUGAGAGGCAUGAAAAAACCAAGACAAAACAAACUACAUGUAAAUACUGUGAAGAGUUUUCUCAGAGGAGAAACAAAAUUAACUGAGAGAAGAAGCAAAUGAUACACACAUAACUGGAAGGGAAACACUCCAUCAUUUAUAAAAUUUUUGCCCAGAGGA
This is a long non-coding RNA of Malurus melanocephalus (red-backed fairy wren), 682 nucleotides long. RefSeq lists it as uncharacterized. NCBI's taxonomy places the organism in Eukaryota, Metazoa, Chordata, Aves, Passeriformes, Maluridae. The record is from RefSeq and is a predicted model, not a curated record. The transcript is spliced from 3 exons.